GACGAACGCUGGCGGCGUGCCUAAUACAUGCAAGUAGGACGCACAGUUUAUACCGUAGCUUGCUACACCAUAGACUGUGAGUUGCGAACGGGUGAGUAACGCGUAGGUAACCUGCCUAUUAGAGGGGGAUAACUAUUGGAAACGAUAGCUAAUACCGCAUAACAGUAUGUAACACAUGUUAGAUGCUUGAAAGAUGCAAUUGCAUCGCUAGUAGAUGGACCUGCGUUGUAUUAGCUAGUAGGUAGGGUAAUGGCCUACCUAGGCGACGAUACAUAGCCGACCUGAGAGGGUGAUCGGCCACACUGGGACUGAGACACGGCCCAGACUCCUACGGGAGGCAGCAGUAGGGAAUCUUCGGCAAUGGGGGGAACCCUGACCGAGCAACGCCGCGUGAGUGAAGAAGGUUUUCGGAUCGUAAAGCUCUGUUGUUAAGGAAGAAACGAGUGUGAGAAAGG
RNAcentral lists this ribosomal RNA (455 nucleotides) under Streptococcus anginosus. RNAcentral describes it as "bacterial SSU rRNA". It matches the Rfam family "Bacterial small subunit ribosomal RNA", at positions 28 to 465 of the family's 1533-position model. The record is from RNAcentral. Lineage: Bacteria; Bacillati; Bacillota; Bacilli; Lactobacillales; Streptococcaceae.